UUCCUACGGGACGCAGCAGUGGGGGAUAUUGCACAAUGGGGGGAACCCUGAUGCAGCGACGCCGCGUGGGUGAAGAAGCGCCUCGGCGCGUAAAGCCCUGUCAGCAGGGAAGAAAAUGACGGUACCUGAAGAAGAAGCCCCGGCUAACUACGUGCCAGCAGCCGCGGUAAUACGUAGGGGGCAAGCGUUAUCCGGAUUUACUGGGUGUAAAGGGAGCGUAGGUGGCAUGGCAAGCCAGAAGUGAAAACCCGGGGCUUAACCCCGCGGAUUGCUUUUGGAACUGUCAGGCUGGAGUGCAGGAGGGG
RNAcentral lists this ribosomal RNA (305 nucleotides) under uncultured bacterium. RNAcentral's name for it is "bacterial SSU rRNA". It matches the Rfam family "Bacterial small subunit ribosomal RNA", at positions 336 to 657 of the family's 1533-position model. The record is from RNAcentral.